GGGGGCGGUGCCCGAGGAAGCCAAUAGGAAGAGGAGUCGGCCAAGAGCGACGGCUCUGCCGUCCAGUCGGCGCCGGCCAUUCGGCCCCGCCCAUCAGGAAACCUGAGGAAAACGGAUUCUUGGGCCCUGAGUUGUGGGCCUUACCUUUCCUUUCUUCUUUCCGUUUCCGGGGAAGGGAAAAGGAAGUGUUGUUUGGAUCUGAGGAAGUUUGCACAGUAGCUGGCUGAGUGGUAGCUGUUUGUCUUGUAGCAAUCUUUAAAAAGUGUUCUUUGGGGUCGGGCGCAGUGUCUCACGCCUCUAAUCCCAGCACCUUGGGAGGCCGAGGCGGGCGAAUCACCUGAGGUCGGGAGCUCGAGACCAGUCUGACCGACAUGGAGAAACCCCGUCUCUCCUAAAAAUACAAAAUUAGCCGGGCGUGGUGGCGCAUGCCUGUAAUACUAGCUACUCGGGAGGCUGAGGCAGGAGAAACGCUUGAACCCGGGAGGCGGACGUUGCAGUGAGCCGAGAUCGAGCCAUUGCAUUCCAGCCUGGGCAACAAGAGCGAAACUCCGUCUCAAAAAAAAAAAAAAAAAAAAAAAAAAGUGUUCAUUGGUUUCCCAGCUACCUUUUGAAGAAAAAGGUAAUGGAAAUUGAUUCGCAUUUCUUUUUUAAAGAUUUUCUUCAUUUGGCGUGAAAGGUAGGAUCUUGUACAUCUCCAGGGUUUGGGGUAGGGAGAAGAAGAGACGUUAGGAGAAGCACUGAAUAUGGAGAUGGGAUCGGACGGCUAGUGGGAUGAAGAGGCUGGGGAAAUAGAAUGAAUAGACAGAGAAAAUGAUUGACUUCAACUAUCCAAAAUAUAAAAAAGACAAGACAGAGAAAAUGAGGAAGAAAAGGAAUGAACCUGGAUGGGAUCCAUACAGUAUUAAGAACAGGGUAUUGUUUCAUUUGGAUUCACUUACUCAAAACAAAACUACAGAGUACUCUGCGAACAGAAGAUAAGUAUUCAUUAUCGAGCGAGACAACUACGAUCUCUGCAUUCACUGUAGUUACCUAGCACGUGAAGAUAUUGAACGGACAAUAUUGAGAAAAAUACCAUGAUAUGGGAAGUGCAUUGGAGCACAUGGUAGGAGUAGCUAAUUAAAAGCCCAGAAGGAGUCAGGAACAAUUUUCUAGGAGGAAGAGAUGUUUAAACUGAAACCCCUGUGUUGAAUAGAUUUAAAACAGGCCAAGAGGGGUAAAAUUUUCCAGGUAGAAGGUCCAAAUCCGUGUAACAGCUGUGUAAAAUGCCAAGCAUUGGGUCUGUUAUUAUGAAGGGCUUAGUUGGCCCUUAGGGCACUGGUCAGAUUUGUAUUGAAAGAUCUUUGGAUAAAGGAGGUAGGAUUGGGAGGGAAGAUAUAGAGUCACAAGAUUUGGGAGCUGUUUAGGAAAUCCAGUUGAGAAAGAAAUGAUCAUAGCCUUGAUACCUCAUUAUUCCAUUUUGGCUAGGUGGAGUUAAGAAAAUGGAAGAGAAAGGCAAUUUUUUGUGCAUUAUAAAUAAGAAUUUGGGGAGUGACUAGAGACAGAAGAUAAAGAGAACAUAGCUCAACAGUUAACAAUGAUGUGUUUGAAGAGUGUUUAAAAAUGUGAAGAUGACUAGCCCAGCACACACACCUGUAAUCCCAGCUACUUGUGAGGCUGAGAAAAGGAAGAUUGUUUGCUGCAGCCUCGACUAUCUGCUCUCAACCAAACCUCCCACCUCAGCUUCCUGAGUAGCUGUGACUGCAGGCGCACACCACCAUACCCGGCUAAUUUUUGUAUUUUUUGUAGAGUGGGGGUUUCACCAUAUUGCUCUGGCUGGUCUCCAACUCCAGAGCUCAAGUGAUCCACUCAUCUCGGCCUCCAAAAGUGUUGGGAUUACAGGUGUGAGCCACUGCACCUGGCUGUUUUUUUAUAUUUCUAUGAUGUCAGUAAACUCCCCUUCAUUCCUCUCCUUCUCACAUCUUGAAAAAAGGCUUCUACAGACCACAGAGGCCUUGGUGUGAGUGGUGGGUUUGGAUGUAGUUUUUAUGGUAUAUGUGUGGAAAAUAGAGGGAAGGAGCUGAGUUUUGCUUUUAGGUUGACACUAAGAUAAAAACAAAGAGCCAUACCUUCAGAAUGGAGACACAGGAUUUAGGAGCAGCAGGAAGCUGAAGUCAGAGGGGACCAUAAAAUGGCAACUCCCCAUGUAUUCACGGAAAUUUUGCGCAGGGCAAGUAGACUGUUCCAAAGGGGGAAAUAGAAGCUCAAUACUAUAAGAGUAGAGGCACAAGCAGCUAAUUGGGUAAUAGUUUGAAAUUUAGGGACUGGCUUUUAAAAAUCUAAUCUAUGAAACAGGGUGAAUUGAAGACUUUUUAAAUACCAGUAAAAUAAUAAUCAGAAUUUUUUAUUGAAGUUAGUAAACAUAAAAUUAACAGAAUAGAAAAACAGGUUAACAUAAGUUGGUUAGCUGGAAUCCAGGCCUGAAAGGGGGAAGCCAGUAAGAAGCCUAUUCCUUUCACAGAACUCCAGGUGGUAGUCUCAGGAAUACGUUAAAAGCAGCAUGGGUCUGGUGCGGUGGCUCAUGCCUAUAAUCCCAGCACUUUGGGAGGCCGAGGCAGGUGGAUCACUUGAGGUCAGGAGUGCAAGACCAGCCUGACCAACAUGGUGAAACUCCGUUUCUACUAAGAAUACAAAAUUAGCUGGGCUUGGUGGUGCAUGCCUGUAACCUGAGCUACUUGGGAGGCCGAGGCAGGAGAAUUGCUUAAACCCGGGAGGCGGUGUCUGCGGUGAGCCGAGAUCAUGCCAUUGCACUACAGCCUGGGCAACUAUAGCGAAACUCUGUCUCAAAAAAAGAAAGAAAAAGAAAAAAAGCAUGAAGCUGAGACUGGAGGAUUGGUUGGAAAAAAAAAUGGAGUAUGAAGCUGAGACUGAAGAUUGGUUGGGAGUCUUGAAACAAUUAGAUGCUAGAUCUCCUGUCAUACUUUGUGGAGGACCAGGAGAUUAUAAGGUGAACCGAGAGGAUCUAGACUCUACCACUAGGCACAACUGAGAGUAGAAAUGAGGUCAUACUGAAAUGGGGAGGAUAAGCUCAGGACCUCGUCUUACUUGGCUCCCAGAACGCUGGCAAUGAGUCAUAUAUCCCCUGGGCAUUAAAUUUAAAGACUUUUUCAGGCAAGCUAAUCAGAAAAGAGAGGAGGCCCCAAUUGAAAAAGCCAGUUUAUUAAUAUAGACCUACGCUGACACCUACUAGCUGAUAAGCUAGUCCCUGCACGCUGAGCUUCUGAUCAAUUUUAGCAUUACCAAACUUUGGAAUAAAGCCUCAGCUCUGAAAAAGAAAAAAAAUAAAGCAGGAGCAAACAUACUAUGUAGAACCCAGAGAAAAAUUUACUCAAAACUGUAAUAAACUCUUGACAUUUUAUAUCUAUUAAAAAAGGAAUGUAAAAAGGAAUGUGAGUCAUCAAAUUUAGAUUCUUUAAGGAGAAAAUUCUUAAAGUUUUAAUUAAUUUUUAAAUAGACUGCAGAAUCAAGAUGAU
This 3509-nucleotide long non-coding RNA is filed under the name Homo sapiens (human). RNAcentral's name for it is "non-protein coding lnc-NIF3L1-3:1". The record is from RNAcentral. Lineage: Eukaryota; Metazoa; Chordata; Mammalia; Primates; Hominidae.